AGAGUUUGAUCAUGGCUCAGGAUGAACGCUAGCUACAGGCUUAACACAUGCAAGUCGAGGGGAAACGACAUCGAAAGCUUGCUUUUGAUGGGCGUCGACCGGCGCACGGGUGAGUAACGCGUAUCCAACCUGCCCAUCACUUGGGGAUAACCUUGCGAAAGUAAGACUAAUACCCAAUGAUAUCUCCAGAAGGCAUCUGAAAGAGAUUAAAGAUUUAUCGGUGAGUGGAUGGGGAUGCGUCUGAUUAGCUUGUUGCGGGUAACGGCCACAAGCAACGAUCAGUAGGGUUCUGACGAGGAAGGUCCCCCANAUUGGAACUGAGACACGGUCCAAACUCCUACGGGAGGCA
RNAcentral lists this ribosomal RNA (349 nucleotides) under uncultured bacterium. Its description in RNAcentral is "bacterial SSU rRNA". It matches the Rfam family "Bacterial small subunit ribosomal RNA", at positions 8 to 350 of the family's 1533-position model. The record is from RNAcentral.